RNAcentral lists this ribosomal RNA (587 nucleotides) under uncultured prokaryote. RNAcentral's name for it is "bacterial SSU rRNA". It matches the Rfam family "Bacterial small subunit ribosomal RNA", at positions 338 to 916 of the family's 1533-position model. The record is from RNAcentral.
CCUACGGGAGGCAGCAGUGGGGAAUAUUGGACAAUGGGCGGAAGCCUGAUCCAGCCAUGCCGCGUGUGUGAAGAAGGCCUUUUGGUUGUAAAGCACUUUAAGCGAGGAGGAGGCUACCUGGAUUAAUACUCUAGGAUAGUGGACGUUACUCGCAGAAUAAGCACCGGCUAACUCUGUGCCAGCAGCCGCGGUAAUACAGAGGGUGCGAGCGUUAAUCGGAUUUACUGGGCGUAAAGCGUGCGUAGGCGGCUGAUUAAGUCGGAUGUGAAAUCCCUGAGCUUAACUUAGGAAUUGCAUUCGAUACUGGUCAGCUAGAGUAUGGGAGAGGAUGGUAGAAUUCCAGGUGUAGCGGUGAAAUGCGUAGAGAUCUGGAGGAAUACCGAUGGCGAAGGCAGCCAUCUGGCCUAAUACUGACGCUGAGGUACGAAAGCAUGGGGAGCAAACAGGAUUAGAUACCCUGGUAGUCCAUGCCGUAAACGAUGUCUACUAGCCGUUGGGGCCUUUGAGGCUUUAGUGGCGCAGCUAACGCGAUAAGUAGACCGCCUGGGGAGUACGGUCGCAAGACUAAAACUCAAAUGAAUAGACGG